Molecule: ribosomal RNA, 274 nt
Filed under: uncultured bacterium
Lineage: Bacteria
Description: partial 16S ribosomal RNA
Rfam family: Bacterial small subunit ribosomal RNA
Source: RNAcentral
AUACGGAGGGUCCGAGCGUUAAUCGGAAUUACUGGGCGUAAAGCGCGCGUAGGCGGCUUGUUAAGUCAGAUGUGAAAGCCCUGGGCUCAACCUGGGAACUGCAUUUGAUACUGGCAAGCUAGAGUAUGGGAGAGGACAGUGGAAUUUCUAGUGUAGCGGUGAAAUGCGUAGAUAUUAGAAGGAACACCAGUGGCGAAGGCGACUGUCUGGCCCAAUACUGACGCUGAGGUGCGAAAGCGUGGGGAGCAAACAGGAUUAGAAACCCCAGUAGUCC